RNAcentral lists this ribosomal RNA (253 nucleotides) under uncultured bacterium. RNAcentral's name for it is "partial 16S ribosomal RNA". It matches the Rfam family "Bacterial small subunit ribosomal RNA", at positions 524 to 776 of the family's 1533-position model. The record is from RNAcentral.
UACGUAGGGACCGAGCGCUGUCCGGAUUCAUUGGGCGUAAAGAGCUCGUAGGCGGCCACUCAAGUCGAAUGUGAAAUCUCGAGGCUCAACCUCGAGCCUGCAUUCGAUACUGGGCGGCUAGAGUCUGGUAGGGGGAUCUGGAAUUCCUGGUGUAGCGGUGGAAUGCGCAGAUAUCAGGAGGAACACCGGUGGCGAAGGCGGAUCUCUGGGCCAUUACUGACGCUGAGGAGCGAAAGCGUGGGGAGCGAACAGG